This 465-nucleotide ribosomal RNA is filed under the name uncultured bacterium. RNAcentral describes it as "partial 16S ribosomal RNA". It matches the Rfam family "Bacterial small subunit ribosomal RNA", at positions 28 to 507 of the family's 1533-position model. The record is from RNAcentral.
GACGAACGCUGGCGGCGUGCCUAAUACAUGCAAGUCGAGCGAGGACCCUCCUUCGGGAGGGUGUCCUAGCGGCGAACGGGCGAGUAACACGUGGGCAACCUGCCCUCAGCUCUGGGAUAACUCCGGGAAACCGGGGCUAAUACCGGACACGAACUCCACGGGCAUCUGCGGAGGUGGAAAGAUAUUCGGCUGAGGAUGGGCCCGCGGCCGAUCCGCUAGUUGGUGGGGUAGUGGGCCACGAAGGCGACGACUGGUAGCCGGCCGGGGAGGGGGGCCGGCCACCCGGGGCCUGAGGCACGGCCCAGACGCCUACGGGAGGCAGCAGUGGAGAAUAUUGCGCAACGGGCGAAAGCCUGACGCAGCGACGCCGCGUUAGGAACGAAGUCUUUCGGGUUGUAAACCUCUUUCAGCGGAGACGAAGCGAAAGUGACGGUACCUGCAGAAGAAGCACCGGCCAACUACGUG